This 253-nucleotide ribosomal RNA is filed under the name uncultured bacterium. RNAcentral describes it as "partial 16S ribosomal RNA". It matches the Rfam family "Bacterial small subunit ribosomal RNA", at positions 524 to 776 of the family's 1533-position model. The record is from RNAcentral.
UACGUAGGGCGCAAGCGUUAUCCGGAAUUAUUGGGCGUAAAGAGCUCGUAGGCGGUUUGUCGCGUCUGCCGUGAAAGUCCGGGGCUCAACUCCGGAUCUGCGGUGGGUACGGGCAGACUAGAGUGCAGUAGGGGAGACUGGAAUUCCUGGUGUAGCGGUGAAAUGCGCAGAUAUCAGGAGGAACACCGAUGGCGAAGGCAGAUCUCUGGGCCGUAACUGACGCUGAGGAGCGAAAGCAUGGGGAGCGAACAGG